AUUGAACGCUGGCGGCAUGCCUUACACAUGCAAGUCGAACGGUAACAGGUCUUCGGAUGCUGACGAGUGGCGAACGGGUGAGUAAUACAUCGGAACGUGCCUAGUAGUGGGGGAUAACUACUCGAAAGAGUGGCUAAUACCGCAUGAGAUCUACGGAUGAAAGCAGGGGAUCGUAAGACCUUGUGCGAAUAGAGCGGCCGAUGGCAGAUUAGGUAGUUGGUGGGAUAAAAGCUUACCAAGCCGACGAUCUGUAGCUGGUCUGAGAGGACGAUCAGCCACACUGGGACUGAGACACGGCCCAGACUCCUACGGGAGGCAGCAGUGGGGAAUUUUGGACAAUGGGCGCAAGCCUGAUCCAGCAAUGCCGCGUGCAGGAUGAAGGCCUUCGGGUUGUAAACUGCUUUUGUACGGAACGAAAAGCCCCGGGUUAAUACCCUGGGGUCAUGACGGUACCGUAAGAAUAAGCACCGGCUAACUACGUGCCAGCCGCCGCGGUAA
RNAcentral lists this ribosomal RNA (498 nucleotides) under uncultured bacterium. RNAcentral's name for it is "partial 16S ribosomal RNA". It matches the Rfam family "Bacterial small subunit ribosomal RNA", at positions 30 to 523 of the family's 1533-position model. The record is from RNAcentral.